UAGGGAAUUUUUCACAAUGAGCGAAAGCUUGAUGGAGCAAUGCCGCGUGAACGAUGAAGGUCUUUAAGAUUGUAAAGUUCUUUUAUUUGGGAAGAAUGACUUUAGCAGGUAAUGGCUAGAGUUUGACUGUACCAUUUUGAAUAAGUGAUGACUAACUAUGUGCCAGCAGUCGCGGUAAUACAUAGGUCGCAAGCGUUAUCCGGAUUUAUUGGGCGUAAAGCAAGCGCAGGCGGAUUGAAAAGUCUGGUGUUAAAGGCAGCUGCUUAACAGUUGUAUGCAUUGGAAACUAUUAAUCUAGAGUGUGGUAGGGAGUUUUGGAAUUUCAUGUGGAGCGGUGAAAUGCGUAGAUAUAUGAAGGAACACCAGUGGCGAAGGCGAAAACUUAGGCCAUUACUGACGCUUAGGCUUGAAAGUGUGGGGAGCAAAUAGGAUUAGAUACCCUAGUAGUCCACACCGUAAACGAUAGAUACUAGCUGUCGGGGCGAUCCCCUCGGUAGUGAAGUUAACACAUUAAGUAUCUCGCCUGGGUAGUACAUUCGCAAGAAUG
This 547-nucleotide ribosomal RNA is filed under the name uncultured bacterium. RNAcentral describes it as "bacterial SSU rRNA". It matches the Rfam family "Bacterial small subunit ribosomal RNA", at positions 355 to 896 of the family's 1533-position model. The record is from RNAcentral.